CUGGACACUACAUGACUGAGUUACAGUACAGACAGGUUACACCUGGACACUACAUGACUGAGUUACGGUACAGACAGGUUACACCUGGACACUACAUGACUGAGUUACAGUACAGACAGGUUACACCUGGACACUACAUGACUGAGUUACAGUACAGACAGGUUACACCUGGACACUACAUGACUGAGUUACGGUACAGACAGGUUACACCUGGACACUACAUGACUGAGUUACAGUACAGACAGGUUACACCUGGACACUACAUGACUGAGUUACGGUACAGACAGGUUACACCUGGACACUACAUGACUGAGUUACAGUACAGACAGGUUACACCUGGACACUACAUGACUGAGUUACGGUACAGACAGGUUACACCUGGACACUACAUGACUGAGUUACAGUACAGACAGGUUACACCUGGACACUACAUGACUGAGUUACAGUACAGACAGGUUACACCUGGACACUACAUGACUGAGUUACAGUACAGACAGGUUACACCUGGACACUACAUGACUGAGUUACGGUACAGACAGGUUACACCUGGACACUACAUGACUGAGUUACAGUACAGACAGGUUACACCUGGACACUACAUGACUGAGUUACAGUACAGACAGGUUACACCUGGACACUACAUGACUGAGUUACAGUACAGACACAACACUGGCCAGGUAAACACUAUAGCAGUUUAGUCCCAAAUGGCCCUCUGUUCCCUUGAUAGUGCGCUACUGUUGACCAGAUUGCUAUGGGUUAGUCCUACGGGUCCUGGUCUAUGGGUUAGUCCUACGGGUCCUGGUCUAUGGGUUAGUCCUACGGGUCCUGGUCUAUGGGUUAGUCAUACGGGUCCUGGUCUAUGGGUUAGUCCUACGGGUCCUGGUCUAUGGGUUAGUCCUACGGGUCCUGGUCUAUGGGUUAGUCCUACGGGUCCUGGUCUAUGGGUUAGUCCUACAGGUCCUGGUCUAUGGGUUAGUCCUACGGGUCCUGGUCUAUGGGUUAGUCCUGUAUUGGAAAUGUAGUGCUAUUUUGGUCCCGUUCCAAGAACCACCCCAAACU
Oncorhynchus keta (chum salmon) is the source of this 1059-nucleotide long non-coding RNA. RefSeq lists it as uncharacterized. The record is from RefSeq and is a predicted model, not a curated record. Lineage: Eukaryota; Metazoa; Chordata; Actinopteri; Salmoniformes; Salmonidae. The transcript is spliced from 5 exons.